Otolemur garnettii (small-eared galago) is the source of this 131-nucleotide small nucleolar RNA. The record is from Ensembl. NCBI's taxonomy places the organism in Eukaryota, Metazoa, Chordata, Mammalia, Primates, Galagidae.
GAGGUGUGCUCAGAGCAAGGGGCCUGAAGAAUGGCUCCUCUGUUUACAACACACCCAACAGGAAUCUGGGGUCAUUGUGACGAAGGGCAGCGCAAAACUUGUGGCCUCCUGUAAACAAAUACCCUACAUUU